This 241-nucleotide ribosomal RNA is filed under the name uncultured bacterium. RNAcentral's name for it is "partial 16S ribosomal RNA". It matches the Rfam family "Bacterial small subunit ribosomal RNA", at positions 93 to 334 of the family's 1533-position model. The record is from RNAcentral.
AAGCGGCGGACGGGUGAGUAACGCGUGGGUAACCUACCCCGUACACACGGAUAACAUACCGAAAGGUAUGCUAAUACGGGAUAAUAUAUUUGAGAGGCAUCUCUUAAAUAUCAAAGGUGAGCCAGUACAGGAUGGACCCGCGUCUGAUUAGCUAGUUGGUAAGGUAACGGCUUACCAAGGCGACGAUCAGUAGCCGACCUGAGAGGGUGAUCGGCCACAUUGGAACUGAGACACGGUCCAA